RNAcentral lists this non-coding RNA (213 nucleotides) under Aerococcus urinaehominis. Its description in RNAcentral is "T-box sequence". It matches the Rfam family "T-box leader". From Rfam's summary of the family: Uncharged tRNA acts as the effector for transcription antitermination of genes in the T-box leader family. T-boxes are found upstream of many aminoacyl-tRNA synthetase genes and some amino acid biosynthetic genes usually in Gram-positive bacteria. Lineage: Bacteria; Bacillati; Bacillota; Bacilli; Lactobacillales; Aerococcaceae. The record is from RNAcentral.
AUAAAGUCUAUGAAGCAAAGAGUAGUUAAUGGCGCUGGUUUAGCGAGAGGUGUUGGUGGAAGGCCUCCUGGUAAAAUUAAUGAACCGCAUUGCUUAGAUGGUUAGCUGAAAUCUUUUAGGUUAACCCGCUGAUAGCGUUACGCAAAUGAGAUGAUUGGUUAAUUAGUUUAACCUAUCAAGUAGAGUGGUAUCGUGGAUUAGUCCGCCUCUUAA